UGAUGGAUGACAAAAUGGGGUCCAGGAACUUGGCAAUAGGAAUAGUGCUCUCACUUCAGGGUGUAUUUGGAAUUCUGGGAAACUUCUCUCUUCUUUUCCACUAUCUACUCCUUUACUACAAUGAAGGCAAGUUAAAGACCAUAGACUUGAUUCUUACACAUGUGUUUACAGCCAACUCUUUGAUCAUUUUCUCCAAAGGAAUGCUACAGAUAACAGGAGCUUUUGGAUGGAAUCAGUUCUUCAAUGAUAUUGGAUGCAAUCUUAUUUUAUAUAUUCUCAGACUUGGCAGGAGUAUGUCUAUCUACACCACCUGUCUUGUGAGUGUCUUCCAGGCUAUCACCAUCAGCCCCUGGAAAUCCUAUUGGAAGGAUCUCAUAGUCAAAAUUCGAAGGCUCAUGGGUUUCUUCAUUUCACUCUGCUGGAUCCUACACAUGAUGGUGAAUAUGAUUUUUUCCUAUAUAUCCAUCCACCAAGGGAAAGACAAAAAAUAUUACACAAAAAAGAAAAUAUGAAUUCUGUUCCUCUUUUCCAGGUCGUGAUAAUAUAGUAGAAUCACUAUACAUAGCAUUUUGGGUAUUUCCAGAAGUCUUGCUUUCUGUAGUUCUGGUCAUUUCCAGCAUCACCAUGAUUGUCAUACUGUAUGGACACAAGAAAAUGGUUCAACAUAUACACAGUUCUCAUGUUUCUCCCAGAAACUCUCCUGAGUCCAGAGCCACCCAGAAAAUUCUAGUCCUGGUGUGCACAUUUCUCACUUUUUAUACACUAUCUUCCAUCUUACAAGGCUUCAUUACCUUUUCUCAGAAUCCUAGUUGGUGGCUAAUUAAUAUCACAGCUAUCAUUUCUAUGUGCUUUCCUACUGUAGGUCCCUUUAUCAUGAGCCAUGAUAUCAUUCUUUCUCGUUUCUGUUUAUCUUAGAUGAGGAAUAUAUACUUACAAUAA
This 939-nucleotide long non-coding RNA is filed under the name Mus musculus (house mouse). RNAcentral's name for it is "long non-coding RNA chr17:20933609-20934548". The record is from RNAcentral. Lineage: Eukaryota; Metazoa; Chordata; Mammalia; Rodentia; Muridae.